GCAAGUCGAACGAUGAAGGUGGGAGCUUGCUCUACUGGUUUAGUGGCGAACGGGUGAGUAACACGUGAGCAAUCUGCCCCUGACUCUGGGAUAAGCGUUGGAAACGACGUCUAAUACCGGAUACGUGCUGGGAACGCAUGGUCACCAGCUGGAAAGAACUUUGGUCAGGGAUGAGCUCGCGGCCUAUCAGCUAGUUGGUGGGGUAAUGGCCCACCAAGGCGACGACGGGUAGCCGGCCUGAGAGGGUGACC
This 251-nucleotide ribosomal RNA is filed under the name uncultured bacterium. RNAcentral's name for it is "partial 16S ribosomal RNA". It matches the Rfam family "Bacterial small subunit ribosomal RNA", at positions 57 to 305 of the family's 1533-position model. The record is from RNAcentral.